This 1302-nucleotide ribosomal RNA is filed under the name uncultured marine eukaryote. RNAcentral's name for it is "SSU rRNA". It matches the Rfam family "Eukaryotic small subunit ribosomal RNA", at positions 411 to 1749 of the family's 1831-position model. The record is from RNAcentral.
CACAUCAAGGAAGGCAGCAGGCGCGCAAUUACCCAAUCCUAACUCAGGGAGGUAGUGACAAGAAAUAACAAUAACUGACCUUAAAUAGGUAAGUUAAUUGGAAUGAGUACAAUCUAAACACCUUAACGACUAUCCAUUGGAGGGCAAGUCUGGUGCCAGCAGCCGCGGUAAUUCCAGCUCCAAUAGCGUAUACUAAUGUUGUUGCAGUUAAAAAGCUCGUAGUCGGAUUUCAGUUUAAUACACUCAGCUUAUAUGUUGACGUGUGUUUUACUUCAUUGAUAUGAACCUGCAUCUGAUUUAUUUCCGGUGCUGUCUAGUAUCUCUUUUACUUUGAGAAAAUUAGAGUGUUCAAAGCAGGUUUUCGCCUGAAUAUUACUCUUGGAAUAAUGAUAUAGGACUUUGGUUCUAAUUUGUUGGUGUAUUAGGACCGGAGUAAUGAUUGAUAGGGACGGUUGGGGUCAUUCAUACUGCAAAGCGAGAGGUGAAAUUCUUGGACCUUUGUAUGAUGAACAACUGCGAAAGCAUUUGACUAGGACGUUCCCGUUGAUCAAGAACGAAAGUUGGGGGAUCGAAGACGAUCAGAUACCGUCGUAGUCUCAACCAUAAACUAUGCCAGCUAGGGAUGGGAAGGUGUUUAUUUACGACCCUUUCCGCACCUUAUGAGAAAUCAAAGCAUUUGGGUUCCGGGGGGAGUAUGGUCGCAAGGCUGAAACUUAAAGGAAUUGACGGGAGGGCACCACCAGGAGUGGAGCCUGUGGCUUAAUUUGACUCAACACGGGAAAACUUACCAGGUCCGGACAUAGUAAGGAUUGACAGAUUGAAAGCUCUUUCUUGAUUCUAUGGGUGGUGGUGCAUGGCCGUUCUUAGUUGGUGGAGUGAUUUGUCUGGUUAAUUCCGUUAACGAACGAGACCUCAGCCUGCUAAAUAGUUUACGUUUCUUUUGAAUCGUUGAACUUCUUAGAGGGACUACUUCGCAAACAAGCGAGAGGAAGCUUGAGGCAAUAACAGGUCUGUGAUGCCCUUAGAUGUUCUGGGCCGCACACGGGCUACACUGGUGUAUUCAACAAGUCUUGUCACCUACAUUGAAGAAUGCGGGUAAUCUUUGAAUCUACACCGUGCUUGGGAUAGACUUUUGCAAUUUUUAGUCUUCAACGAGGAAUUCCUAGUAAACGCGAGUCAUCAGCUCGCAUUGAUUACGUCCCUGCCCUUUGUACACACCGCCCGUCGCUCCUACCGAUUGAAUGAUUCGGUAAGCAUUUGGGAUUGAUUUCUUUUAACCCUCACCGGGUUUCAAGUGUGACA